RNAcentral lists this ribosomal RNA (484 nucleotides) under uncultured bacterium. Its description in RNAcentral is "partial 16S ribosomal RNA". It matches the Rfam family "Bacterial small subunit ribosomal RNA", at positions 29 to 507 of the family's 1533-position model. The record is from RNAcentral.
AUUGAACGCUGGCGGUAUGCUUUACACAUGCAAGUCGAACGGCAGCGCGGGCUUCGGCCUGGCGGCGAGUGGCGAACGGGGGAGUAAUGCAUCGGAACGUGCCCAGUAGUGGGGGAUAGCCCGGCGAAAGCCGGAUUAAUACCGCACACGAUCUGAGGGUGAAAGCGGGGGAUCGAAAGGCCUCGCGCUAUUGGAGCGGCCGAAGUCGGAUUAGCUAGUUGGUGGGGUAAAGGCUUACAAAGGCGACGAUCCGUAGCUGGUCUGAGAGGACGACCAGCCACACUGGGACUGAGACACGGCCCAGACUCCUACGGGAGGCAGCAGUGGGGAAUUUUGGACAAUGGGGGCAACCCUGAUCCAGCCAUGCCGCGUGCGGGAAGAAGGCCUUCGGGUUGUAAACCGCUUUUGUUCGGGAAGAAAACCUCUGGGCUAAUACCCCGGGGGGAUGACGGUACCGGAAGAAUAAGCACCGGCUAACUACGUG